Molecule: ribosomal RNA, 448 nt
Filed under: uncultured bacterium
Lineage: Bacteria
Description: bacterial SSU rRNA
Rfam family: Bacterial small subunit ribosomal RNA
Source: RNAcentral
UCGAGAAUUUUUCUCAAUGGGGGAAACCCUGAAGGAGCGACGCCGCGUGGGGGAUGAAUGGCUUCGGCCCGUAAACCCCUGUCAUUUGCGAACAAACCUUACCGGUUAAUAACCGGUGAGCUGAUUGUAGCGAAAGAGGAAGGGACGGCUAACUCUGUGCCAGCAGCCGCGGUAAUACAGAGGUCCCAAGCGUUGUUCGGAUUCACUGGGCGUAAAGGGUGCGUAGGUGGCCGGGUAAGUCUGAUGUGAAAUCUCCGAGCUCAACUCGGAAAUGGCAUUGGAAACUAUCCGGCUGGAGGAGUGGAGGGGGGACUGGAAUACUUGGUGUAGCAGUGAAAUGCGUAGAUAUCAAGUGGAACACCAGUGGCGAAGGCGAGUCCCUGGACACUUCCUGACACUGAGGCACGAAAGCUAGGGGAGCAAACAGGAUUAGAUACCCCCGUAGUCC